This 460-nucleotide ribosomal RNA is filed under the name uncultured bacterium. RNAcentral's name for it is "partial 16S ribosomal RNA". It matches the Rfam family "Bacterial small subunit ribosomal RNA", at positions 338 to 795 of the family's 1533-position model. The record is from RNAcentral.
CCUACGGGUGGCAGCAGUGAGGAAUAUUGGUCAAUGGCCGUAAGGCUGAACCAGCCAAGUCGCGUGAAGGAAGAAGGAUCUAUGGUUUGUAAACUUCUUUUAUAGGGGAAUAAAGGUAUCCACGUGUGGAUAUUUGCAUGUACUCUAUGAAUAAGCAUCGGCUAACUCCGUGCCAGCAGCCGCGGUAAUACGGAGGAUGCGAGCGUUAUCCGGAUUUAUUGGGUUUAAAGGGUGCGGAGGCGGGGUGGUAAGUCAUCCGGGAAAGGCCGGGGCUCAACCCCGGCCCCGCGUUUGAUACUGGCAGUCUUGAGUUGGGGAGAGGUAUGCGGAAUGCGCGGUGUAGCGGUGAAAUGCAUAGAUAUCGCGAAGAACUCCGAUUGCGAAGGCAGCAUGCCGGCUCCACACUGACGCUGAGGCACGAAAGCGUGGGUAUCGAACAGGAUUAGAUACCCCUGUAGUC